CUUUCAACAACGGAUCUCUUGGUUCCAGCAUCGAUGAAGAACGCAGCGAAAUGCGAUAAGUAAUGUGAAUUGCAGAAUUCAGUGAAUCAUCGAAUCUUUGAACGCACAUUGCGCCCCUCGGUAUUCCGGGGGGCAUGCCUGUUCGAGCGUCAUUGCACCCCUCAAGCACAGCUUGGUAUU
RNAcentral lists this ribosomal RNA (180 nucleotides) under Usnea dasopoga. Its description in RNAcentral is "5.8S ribosomal RNA". The stretch from base 1 to 152 matches the Rfam family "5.8S ribosomal RNA". Rfam says of the family: 5.8S ribosomal RNA (5.8S rRNA) is a component of the large subunit of the eukaryotic ribosome. It is transcribed by RNA polymerase I as part of the 45S precursor that also contains 18S and 28S rRNA. RNAcentral also lists the same sequence under 1 other name. The record is from RNAcentral. Lineage: Eukaryota; Fungi; Ascomycota; Lecanoromycetes; Lecanorales; Parmeliaceae.